Molecule: microRNA, 22 nt
Filed under: Bos taurus (domestic cattle)
Lineage: Eukaryota; Metazoa; Chordata; Mammalia; Artiodactyla; Bovidae
Description: bta-miR-2285cy
Source: miRBase by way of RNAcentral
AAAACCAGAAUGAACUUUUUUG